AACGAACGCUGGCGGCAUGCCUAACACAUGCAAGUCGAACGAGACCUUCGGGUCUAGUGGCGCACGGGUGCGUAACGCGUGGGAACCUGCCCUUAGGUUCGGAAUAACUCCCCGAAAGGGGUGCUAAUACCGGAUAAUGUCUUCGGACCAAAGAUUUAUCGCCUUUGGAUGGGCCCGCGUUGGAUUAGCUAGUUGGUAGGGUAAAAGCCUACCAAGGCGACGAUCCAUAGCUGGUCUGAGAGGAUGAUCAGCCACACUGGGACUGAGACACGGCCCAGACUCCUACGGGAAGCAGCAGUGGGGAAUAUUGGACAAUGGGCGAAAGCCUGAUCCAGCAAUGCCGCGUGAGCGAUGAAGGCCUUAGGGUUGUAAAGCUCUUUUACCCGGGAUGAUAAUGACAGUACCGGGAGAAUAAGCUCCGGCUAACUCCGUG
RNAcentral lists this ribosomal RNA (433 nucleotides) under uncultured bacterium. RNAcentral's name for it is "partial 16S ribosomal RNA". It matches the Rfam family "Bacterial small subunit ribosomal RNA", at positions 29 to 507 of the family's 1533-position model. The record is from RNAcentral.